UCAUGAAGGAAGCAUGGUAAUGUGCACGGAGAUUGAAUCUUUGGGUCCGCAUGUCUGCUCUCUCUGAUGCCUUUAGCAAUGAUUUGAGGGCCUGGUUACGACCCACAUUC
Molecule: small nucleolar RNA, 110 nt
Organism: Eucalyptus grandis
Lineage: Eukaryota; Viridiplantae; Streptophyta; Magnoliopsida; Myrtales; Myrtaceae
Product: small nucleolar RNA snoR100
Exons: 1
Source: RefSeq, a predicted model, not a curated record